This 180-nucleotide ribosomal RNA is filed under the name Vibrio parahaemolyticus. RNAcentral describes it as "partial 23S ribosomal RNA". It matches the Rfam family "Bacterial large subunit ribosomal RNA", at positions 1 to 176 of the family's 2925-position model. The record is from RNAcentral. Lineage: Bacteria; Pseudomonadati; Pseudomonadota; Gammaproteobacteria; Vibrionales; Vibrionaceae.
GUUGUAUGGUUAAGUGACUAAGCGUACACGGUGGAUGCCUUGGCAGUCAGAGGCGAUGAAGGACGUAUUAACUUGCGAUAAGCCCAGAUUAGGCAGUAAAAGCCACUUGAGUCUGGGAUUUCCGAAUGGGGAAACCCAACUGCAUAAGCAGUUACUGUUAACUGAAUACAUAGGUUAACA